CAUUUUAGGCCAUUUCCACUGUAUUUAAUGGUGCUGCAGUUGGAUGUUAUUUUGGUUAUGUACUGUCAGUGGCAGUGGACAACAUCAUGUCUAAACCCAUGAGCCAUUUCAUCACCAACAACAGCCUUCAUCUGUUCACUUUCUACAACAUACCUCAAGCUGUUUUUGACAUGAAUCCAAAAGACUGGUCUGAUGUAGAGGUGUUUGUAGCU
Long non-coding RNA from Sphaeramia orbicularis (orbiculate cardinalfish), 212 nucleotides. RefSeq lists it as uncharacterized. The transcript is spliced from 2 exons. The record is from RefSeq and is a predicted model, not a curated record. Lineage: Eukaryota; Metazoa; Chordata; Actinopteri; Kurtiformes; Apogonidae.